CAGCAGCCGCGGUAAUACGUAGGGUGCAAGCGUUAUCCGGAAUUAUUGGGCGUAAAGAGCUCGUAGGCGGUUUGUCGCGUCUGCUGUGAAAACUGGAGGCUCAACCUCCAGCCUGCAGUGGGUACGGGCAGACUAGAGUGCGGUAGGGGAGAUUGGAAUUCCUGGUGUAGCGGUGGAAUGCGCAGAUAUCAGGAGGAACACCGAUGGCGAAGGCAGAUCUCUGGGCCGUAACUGACGCUGAGGAGCGAAAGCAUGGGGAGCGAACAGGAUUAGAUACCCCCGUAGUCCCUGUCUCUUAUAC
Molecule: ribosomal RNA, 301 nt
Filed under: uncultured bacterium
Lineage: Bacteria
Description: partial 16S ribosomal RNA
Rfam family: Bacterial small subunit ribosomal RNA
Source: RNAcentral